RNAcentral lists this ribosomal RNA (1480 nucleotides) under uncultured Chloroflexus sp. RNAcentral describes it as "bacterial SSU rRNA". It matches the Rfam family "Bacterial small subunit ribosomal RNA". The record is from RNAcentral. Lineage: Bacteria; Bacillati; Chloroflexota; Chloroflexia; Chloroflexales; Chloroflexaceae.
AGAGUUUGAUCAUGGCUCAGGAUGAACGUUGGCGGCACGCUUAACACAUGCAAGUCGAACGCAACCUUCGGGUUGAGUGGCGAACGGGUGCGUAACACGUAGGCGACCUACCCUAAAGAGGGGGAUAACCUGAAGAAAUUCGGGCUAAUACCGCAUACGCUUACCAUUGUCGAGGUGGUAAGGAAAGAUUUAUCGCUUUAGGAGGGGCCUGCGGCCUAUCAGCUAGUUGGUGCGGUAACGGCGCACCAAGGCGACGACGGGUAGCUGACCUGAGAGGGUGGUCAGCCACAGGGGAACUGAGACACGGUCCCCACUCCUACGGGAGGCAGCAGUGAGGAAUAUUGGUCAAUGGGGGCAACCCUGAACCAGCGAUGCCGCGUGCAGGAUGAAGGCUUUCGGGUUGUAAACUGCUUUUGUGCGGGAGUAGCAAGGAGAGUACCGCACGAAUAAGUCACGGCUAACUACGUGCCAGCAGCCGCGGUAAUACGUAGGUGGCGAACGUUAUCCGGAAUUACUGGGCGUAAAGGGUCCGUAGGCGGAGGGGUAGGUCUGAUGUAACAACGCUCGGCUCAACUGAGCGCGGCCAUUGGAAACCGCCCGACUAGAAUCACGUCGAGGUCGGUGGAAUUCCCGGUGUAGUGGUGGAAUGCGUAGAGAUCGGGAGGAACCUCGAAAGCGAAGGCAGCCGGCUAGGCGAUGAUUGACGCUGAGGGACGAGAGCGUGGGGAGCAAACAGGAUUAGAUACCCUGGUAGUCCACGCCGUAAACGAUGUGUGCUGGGUGUGUGGGUGUAACAGCCUGUGCGCCGAAGCAAACGCGAUAAGCACACCGCCUGGGGAGUACGGCCGCAAGGCUAAAACUCAAAGAAAUUGACGGGGACCCGCACAAGCAGCGGAGCGUGUGGUUUAAUUCGAUGCGACGCGAUGAACCUUACCCAGGUUUGACAUAGCGCUGGUAGGGACCGGAAACGGAGCCGACCCGCAAGGGAGGCGUUACAGGUGCUGCAUGGCUGUCGUCAGCUCGUGUCGUGAGAUGUUGGGUUAAGUCCCGCAACGAGCGCAACCCCUAGCGUAUGUUUUACGAGUCAUGCGCGACUGCCCGCCCAAAGCGGGAGGAAGGUGGGGAUGAUGUCAAGUCAGCAUGGCCUUUAUAUCUGGGGCGACACACACGCUACAAUGGCGCGUACAAUGGGCAGCGACCUUGCGAAGGGGAGCGAAUCUCGAAAGCGCGUCACAGUUCGGAUUGGAGUCUGCAACUCGACUCCAUGAAGGCGGAGUUGCUAGUAACCGCGCGUCAGCCAUAGUGCGGUGAAUGCGUUCCCGGGUCUUGUACACACCGCCCGUCACGUCAUGGAAGCCGGUAAUACCUGAAGUCGGGUAAGUAACCUUUCGAGGAGCUGCCUGCCGAGGGUAGGACUGGUGACUGGGACGAAGUCGUAACAAGGUAGCAGUACCGGAAGGUGCGGYUGGAUCACCUCCUU